UACAGAGGUCUCAAGCGUUGUUCGGAUUUAUUGGGCGUAAAGAGCGCGUAGGCGGCCCGGAAAGUGGGGUGUGAAAACCCGAGGCUCAACCUCGGGCGUGCACUCCAAACUCCCGGGCUUGAGGCAGGUAGGGGAGAUCGGAAUUCCUGGUGUAGCGGUGAAAUGCGCAGAUAUCAGGAGGAACACCGGUGGCGAAGGCGGAUCUCUGGGCCUGUUCUGACGCUGAGGCGCGAAAGCUAGGGGAGCAAACAGG
RNAcentral lists this ribosomal RNA (253 nucleotides) under uncultured bacterium. Its description in RNAcentral is "partial 16S ribosomal RNA". It matches the Rfam family "Bacterial small subunit ribosomal RNA", at positions 524 to 776 of the family's 1533-position model. The record is from RNAcentral.